Molecule: long non-coding RNA, 136 nt
Organism: Salarias fasciatus (jewelled blenny)
Lineage: Eukaryota; Metazoa; Chordata; Actinopteri; Blenniiformes; Blenniidae
Exons: 3
Source: RefSeq, a predicted model, not a curated record
UUAUUUAUUUUUUUAAACUUCUGCAGACUCACCUUGAUUUAAACAAAAUUGGGGAAAAGUUCCAAUCAGGGUUCAAACUGCGACACAGCACUGAAACCACCCUUUUAAAAGUUUUUAACGACCUUCUUUUAACUGU